RNAcentral lists this long non-coding RNA (745 nucleotides) under Homo sapiens (human). RNAcentral's name for it is "non-protein coding lnc-SLC35G3-1:2". Lineage: Eukaryota; Metazoa; Chordata; Mammalia; Primates; Hominidae. The record is from RNAcentral.
GCGCUUUUUUGUUGCUUCUCUGUGUUUUCUAUUUUAUUUUAUUUAUUUUAUUUUUAGAUUUUCAGUUCUUAUUUCACCCAGGGAAGGAGACCUGGGUAUCCACCCCAUGUCCUCCAGAGAACUUCCCUGGCCCCGCUCGGAGUCUUCCUGGGACGCCACAGGCUCGGAGAGCGCUCCGCAGGUUUCUCCCCCGGCGCCUCCAAAUCUUUCGAUUCCUACUCGAAUUACUCCGUCAGCUGCUGGAAGAGGGGCAAGGGAGCCAGGAGGACUUCUGGAGCCCGCCCAGCAAGACCCUCUCUCUCCCAUCUUCUGCUCAAGGGCUCGAGGUCUCAGUGGACAGAGCUGAAGAAAAGCCGUCUAUGGAGCCUGCGCCAGGCGCAGACUGGGUCGUCGCAGUCUGGGUCGUCGCAGUCUGGGCCGGGGCGCUGGAAGUCUUACUCACUUCUCAAGAACCCGCAAGGGAUCAGGCCUGACCCUUUGCAAGUGACAGAAUCCAAAGCUUUGAGCUCAUGGGAAAGUGGCUGGAAAGAAGGUCACUGUAGGGCCGCACAGGUCUCUGGCGAGGCUACCCAAGAACAUUUAAAUCCCUGCCCAGAGAAGAAGAGGCUCCAGCUGUCCUGCACCUUCCUGGGAACUGGCAGUCCCUCCGCGCAGGGGUUCUGCAGCGACCGGCAGCGCGAGGAGACAAGGAUGGUGGCCAGUUAACAGAAAAUCAAGGCAGCGGGAAAGGUCUGGAAAACACCAC